UAGGGAAUCUUCCGCAAUGGGCGAAAGCCUGACGGAGCAACGCCGCGUGAGUGAUGAAGGUCUUCGGAUCGUAAAACUCUGUUAUUAGGGAAGAACAAAUGUGUAAGUAACUAUGCACGUCUUGACGGUACCUAAUCAGAAAGCCACGGCUAACUACGUGCCAGCAGCAGCGGUAAUACGUAGGUGGCAAGCGUUAUCCGGAAUUAUUGGGCGUAAAGCGCGCGUAGGCGGUUUUUUAAGUCUGAUGUGAAAGCCCACGGCUCAACCGUGGAGGGUCAGUGGAAACUGGAAAACGUGAGUGCAGAAGAGGAAAGUGGAAUUCCAUGUGUAGCGGUGAAAUGCGCAGAGAUAUGGAGGAACACCAGUGGCGAAGGCGACUUUCUGGUCUGUAACUGACGCUGAUGUGCGAAAGCGUGGGGAUCAAACAGG
This 429-nucleotide ribosomal RNA is filed under the name Actinomycetes bacterium. Its description in RNAcentral is "Actinobacteria bacterium partial 16S ribosomal RNA". It matches the Rfam family "Bacterial small subunit ribosomal RNA", at positions 355 to 776 of the family's 1533-position model. Lineage: Bacteria; Bacillati; Actinomycetota; Actinomycetes. The record is from RNAcentral.